GGAGUGCGAUAAGUGUCACGACUUGCAGAACCCCGAGAGCUGACAAAUUUCUGAAUGCAAAUGGCGACCUCAUGGUCAUGUAUCGCAGAGUGUAGUAGUUCAUACUCAUCAUCCCUUGCUUCUUCAACGGCGGGGGAACCUGCGCUUGCUCUUCUCAGCGAGCGUUAAAAGUCAGAGCGGAGUUGAGAGACACCCAUGUCUCCUCAACUACCGACUUCGGACUCUUUCACGAGAACGAGAAGUCAGACAAGGCUCUGAUGAUGCCGAUUUAGCUCAUCACCUCUGCGAUGCAGGAAAACCCGCUGAACUUAA
RNAcentral lists this unclassified non-coding RNA (312 nucleotides) under uncultured fungus. RNAcentral describes it as "sequence contains ITS1". The stretch from base 1 to 95 matches the Rfam family "5.8S ribosomal RNA", at positions 50 to 154 of the family's 154-position model. Lineage: Eukaryota; Fungi. The record is from RNAcentral.